AGAGCCUAGAUAUCCGUUGCCGAGAGUCGUUUUGAAUAAUUCAUAAGACGCCGACGCCGGGGGCGCACCGUGUCCGGGGCCUCCGGCAUGGCUCUCUUGGUUAGAUUUCCUUGGCGCGUUCCGCGCCGGGGUUCGGUUUGCGGGCAGGAGACGCGAGGUCCCCGCCCGCAGGAGGGGGCGAGGGGGCGACGAGCGCCCCCCGCCCCCCGUCGGUUGUAACCAAUUCGCGGGUCAUUCUGCUGUGCAGGUUUCGACAAUGAUCCUUCCGCAGGUU
Long non-coding RNA from Quercus robur (English oak), 274 nucleotides. RefSeq lists it as uncharacterized. NCBI's taxonomy places the organism in Eukaryota, Viridiplantae, Streptophyta, Magnoliopsida, Fagales, Fagaceae. The record is from RefSeq and is a predicted model, not a curated record. The transcript is spliced from 2 exons.